This 451-nucleotide ribosomal RNA is filed under the name uncultured bacterium. RNAcentral describes it as "bacterial SSU rRNA". It matches the Rfam family "Bacterial small subunit ribosomal RNA", at positions 340 to 786 of the family's 1533-position model. The record is from RNAcentral.
UACGGAAGGCAGCAGUGGGGAAUAUUGCACAAUGGGCGCAAGCCUGAUGCAGCCAUGCCGCGUGUAUGAAGAAGGCCUUCGGGUUGUAAAGUACUUUCAGUCGUGAGGAAGGUGUUAAGGUUAAUAACCUUAGCAAUUGACGUUAGCGACAGAAGAAGCACCGGCUAACUCCGUGCCAGCAGCCGCGGUAAUACGGAGGGUGCGAGCGUUAAUCGGAAUUACUGGGCGUAAAGGGCACGCAGGCGGUUAAUUAAGUUGGAUGUGAAAUCCCCGGGCUUAACCUGGGAAUGGCAUUCAAGACUGGUUAGCUAGAGUCUUGUAGAGGGGGUAGAAUUCCAUGUGUAGCGGUGAAAUGCGUAGAGAUGUGGAGGAAUACCGGUGCGAAGGCGGCCCCUGGACAAGACUGACGCUCAUGUGCGAAAGCGUGGGGAGCAAACAGGGAUUAGAUACC